AUAUUGUUUUUCCCAAAUGUUGCUCAAACCAAAUUUUAGCCUACUAGAUGAUGCAGGUUGGUUGCUGAAACUUAUCCCACAUCCUCAAUUAGCAUAGGUGGCCCUGCGUGUUGGGGUCGAAAAAAGGAUAGGUUCAAGCUAAACUUCCCACAGGAAAGGAUGUUCCAUGUUUUCCAUCCAGACCAAAGCAGUUAACAGGCUAGCAGCAAAUACACAUUCCUCACACAAAAAAGCAAACGAUAAACGGCCGAAAAUAGCAGGAAACUUGAGAAAACUCCUCAAAAAAAAAAAAAAAAAAAAAAAAACCCGAUAAUGUUAGAAAGAAAGAAAGCCGUUAGGAAUAUUUUGAAAGUGAUUUAUGCAAUAUUUUAUCAUUUCAAAGUAAAAAGUCACUUAAGAAUUAAGAUUGUUGAAUAAUCAGAUCACUUAACAAAAUGCAACAAUUAGAUAACCACACAAUGUUUGGUAAUAUCUCGCAAUUAGAGGUCACAAAGUUACUACUAAGAGUUAACCCAAGCCAUCGUCUGAGUUUCCCCCAUUACAUGAAACGACCAUUAAAAAAGUUUCUCAUCUAGAAUAGAGAGAAGAGACUACUUGCAUUGUCCAACCAAAUCGGGAACAACCAUAAUGGUAAUAAUGUCAGCCAACCAAAAAAACAGGAAUGAUUUACCAUCACAAGUGACAACUUUUUUGUUGGCCAAGACAGAAAACAUCCACUGAUCAUAUAUCACAAAAAUUAUUGCCCACCUAAGCAGAAUACUAAUAAUCUGGUACAACCACCAGCCAUCUCUUCCUUCAUACUUUAUGAAGAGAAACAGCUAACUCACUCUCACCAUUCAAUUUUAACUACUAAUAUUAUGACACCACUCUCAUAUUUGGACUUUUUUUAUUGGGAGUUCCUAAAGUACUAAAUCUCACAAACAUUUAAUGUUUUUUUAUGGGUCUUGAAAGAAAAAAAGAAAACUCUACAAACAACAGAAUUUUUGUGUGUGUGUGUGUGUGUGGGUCAUGUCAUGUCAAUAGAAAUGCAAAAUGCAGCUGGAAAUUAAUACUUCAAAACUCUACCAGUAACUAAAAUCUCCAAGACCUAAAUUUUUUUAAGACUGACUACAAGAGCCAUUGAUUCUUCCGGUGCUUCCUGUUUCAACAUAUUAACAUAAUGUGAAAAAGAAGAAAGAACUUGUCUGGAAUCAAGGCUUACACUUAACUUACACUUCCCCACCCUUUGGAGAGAAAGCUGGCAACUGCUGAAACCUUGAAGACAACCAUUUAGAACAAUUUAUGGUACUUCCCACAUAGAUAGCAGUAAGUGCAACUUUAAAAACAUCAUAUUAUCAGAUACAUCAUAUUGAAAUAAAGAAAUAUUUCAUAAAAGUAC
RNAcentral lists this long non-coding RNA (1378 nucleotides) under Carica papaya (papaya). RNAcentral's name for it is "long non-coding RNA (CPAP_LNC014372)". Lineage: Eukaryota; Viridiplantae; Streptophyta; Magnoliopsida; Brassicales; Caricaceae. The record is from RNAcentral.